CGGCAACAGCUCAAAUUUGAAAUCUGGCCUCUCGGGGUCCGAGUUGUAAUUUGUAGAGGAUGUUUUGGGUACCGCCCCGGUCUAAAUUUCUUGGAACAGAAUGUCAUAGAGGGUGAGAAUCCCGU
Molecule: ribosomal RNA, 125 nt
Filed under: Phialophora verrucosa
Lineage: Eukaryota; Fungi; Ascomycota; Eurotiomycetes; Chaetothyriales; Herpotrichiellaceae
Description: partial large subunit ribosomal RNA
Rfam family: Eukaryotic large subunit ribosomal RNA
Source: RNAcentral